UGUGUCACUUGGAUCACUCAAUUCUCUGUACUAGGUCUCAGUCACCCAAGGCGGAUGACUAAGGGGCCCCCCACUCCAACUGUGAGUCUGGGAUUCUCUGAAAUGUGGUAUUUUUCCAGGCUGUGGAGUUCCUCUAUGGCAGUCUGUGGGACACUGCUGGGGUGUUUUCCUCCAGGCUGAAGCUAAGGAGGAGUAUAAAGAGACAGUACUUGCUUCAGCCGCGGGCUGUGCAGACCUCUCCGAGGAUGACCUGGGGUCUGUCUUACACACCUUGGAGCCCUGCGGAUCUCUCCAAUGGUAAGUCCCCUCACGCACUUGGCACAGAACUGUGAGAAUGGCCUCUGAUGGUGCUUGCUUCCAUCAAUGUUCACCCAGGCCAGGUCUCCAAGGCCCAAGGUGGCCCUGCUUGUCCAGGGCUAAGGACUUCAUCCUCCGGGAGACUUCAAGCCCACCCAGAACCUAGUACUAGGCACGUGGGCUCUUCCUACCUCACACUGGGCCUCAGAGAGGCAACAUUCAACCUCCAAAGCCUGAGAGGCACUGGCCAGCUGGGUCCUGGACCCAGAGAUGCUCAAAAUGCCAGAGAGGGGAGGUCCCUUCCAGGCCAAGUGGUCCAACCCACUACCACUGACAUUUUGCAAUCAGGGAAACUGAGCCCAGAGAGGGGAAGGAGCUUGCAUAACACCCAAGUAGGCUGGUGGCAGGGUUACAACCAGAAUCUUUGUCUCCUGCCCAGGGCUCUCCCCUGCAUCAAACACAAUCCACUGAGAUCUAGGCUGAGCCCACCUCCAAUCCUCCAGAACCUUGACAAUCCUUGACAGAAGGCUCCUUCAGCUCAUCCCCUGUCUAUUCUAGGUGAUUCGAGAGAUUUCCCUUCAGCUGGAUGGUCCUUUAUCCUAAAGCUUCCUGGUGUUCCCUCCCCAUCUGCUCAGGGUUAAUCUUUUCCUGCUUCUAGGAUCUGCUCCAUCAACAGGCCAUAACUGCCGCUCCUGUUUUCUUGCUGUGGUCCAACCAACUCCUUGCAGCUCUAGCAUUUCCAAGGAUGGGGAGUCUCUGGUUGCGCCUAGGGUUUCCCUUCUGUCACUGGCCAGUCCCAGGUCUACUGCUUUCCCAUGACCACCUCAGCCUUGAACCCCAUCAGUCUCUCCUGGGAUGCUGCGGACCAUUCCUUGCAGACUCCCUCUCUGCUGGACCCAGGGCCAGUGGGAAUGAUAAGAGCUCACGUGUGGGGUUGCCAUGAAGUUUUAGUGAGUUAAUGCCCGCAUUAGGUAUAUAAGGUGCAUCUGUGAACUCUCAUGUUGCAAGGUAUGUUCAGGUGAUAAGAAGGAGAUCCUUGAAGCUAGCGCCUAUGGUGGCCUAGGCACCUGGGGGCAGAAGAGGGAAGGUGGCCGGGAGGAAUCUGGGGUAGUUGGGAGUGAUAGAAACCAGGAGUGUUUUAAGUUGGGGAAGAAGUUGGUUAGGUUGGCUUCUAGAAAAACGGCAAGGGGAGCUGAGUUGCCUCCCUGCCUAGACUUGCUGAGUACCGUGGGAGCCGGUGGUACCCGGGAAGGACCACACUGGGCCCAGGGCCAGAGCCCUCAGGAUGAUUUUGUGUGUGUCCCUCAACCUUCCCAGCCCCCCGUGUCCUUUUCUUUGGAACCGCUGCAGCCCCUAGCCCAGCCCAGCCCAUCUGGUGCUCUCGGACCAAGCUGGGCCAAGGCUACAAAAAGCCAGUGGGUGCCUGGGUCCUGUCAUUCCACAAUGACAGAGCCUGUGCUGUCUCCCAAAGCAGCCCAUGCCAUCUCCUCAGAGGCUUGUUCAAAAUUAUAUUUUUCAUAAAGGUGAAGUAAUGGUGGCCGACAGUCUGUCAUUCAACGUUGAUCGUGCUCCCUUCAUGCGGCGGGCAUUGUUCCAGGUGCUUUAAUGAUUUAACUCAUUUAACUUUCCAUCAAGCCUUUGAUGCAGGAGCUAUUAUUCUCCCCACAUCCCUGUUUAACAGAUGGGUAAACUGAAGCAUGAGAGGUUAAGCCAUUUCCCCAAUGUGAAGGAGCCAGGACUCCACAUGGAAGUCUCACCCCAGAGCCCCUCGCUGGACGCCCACCCUCUCCUGCCUCUCUGAGCCCCAGGAUCCCUCCCGCUCACCUGCAUUCCCACAAAGAAGUUACUGGCUUUCCCCACACACCCGUCUGCUCUCCCCCAUGGGCCCCCUCUUGGUCCUGCCCGUACACAGGAGCCAAGCCUCCUGGUCAAGGUGGGGGCUCAGCUGCCCUUAGCAGAGGCUGCCCCCUCUUCACCCGCACUCCACACACCUGUCAACACAGCCUCAGGCUGUGAGGGCUUCUCACAUGAUGCAGCUCCCCGUCCCUGUAAGGGGUCUCAUUUCCGCACUGCUCUGUCUACCCCACCCCACACAGCACAGCACAGCUCGACCAGCCAGUCACUAGACAUCCAGCAACUCGGCUCAAUUACACCUCCUUAGGGAGACCACCCUGGACUCCCCGGGCUCAGUCAGUCCUCGUUUGGCUCUUCCUACACACCUUGCCUCGCUUCUCUGCAGCAACCAUUUCACAUCCAUGGCUUAAGUGGCUUGAUGGUGUUUCUCGCUUUCUCACCAGCCUGGAUGCUCCGUGAAGUUAACGCCAGGCCUGUGUUCCCACACAUUGCAUCACCAGUGCCUAGCACAGAGCCUGGCACAAACUCAGUGCUCGGAUGUGUGUGCAUGAAUGAAAUACAUCUCUGAGGCCCUGCUCUGAGCCGGGUCCUCGGCUAGACACCGAGAAUGUGGAGACCAGACAGAGAUGCUGGUGAGGAGACAGCCAAGCAAACCAGCAAUGACAACAUAGGAUGAGGAAAUGCAGGAAGCUGUGGGGGCACUGAGAAAGGGUCCCAGACCCAACUAGAAGGACAGUAGGGCCAGGAGGAAUUCACCGGUGGGAGGGAGUGGGGGGGGGAGGGGGGGAGGACUCUGAAACUGGGCCGAACUAGUAAAUGAAGGGUGGAGGGUCUGUCUCCUCCUCCAGACCUCCUUGUCCCAAGGGCAAGGCCAGUGUCCUGAACUCCUGUCUACCACUUGAGGCUUACAGGAGUGUUGGGUCUCUGCUGUGCAUUCAUAGAGCAUUUUAGGUGAUUGAUUUUCCUCCCCUCCUUGGAACACGGCUGGUCUGACGCGCUCUUCAUUGUAUUAGUUGUGCCCUCUUCUCCCAGCCCUGCCUCCAGGUCCUUGCCCAAAGCAGCCUCACCUUUUCCCACCUGGCUACGCUCUCCCCUCCCCACCCACUCCACGGCUCCGUGUCCCUCACCUUCACGGUUCAGCCCACUCACCCAGCUCUGACCGUCUCAACGUGUGGGUGCCGGCAUGUACCCUCUUCACAUGAGAUUUGUUGAUUUCAUAACCAUAAAUAGAUAAAAUGUUCUGAAUAUCUCCCUGUGCAAGUAGAUUGGGGGAGUGAUCACAUAAUGAAAAGGCCUUGGGAGAAAGAAAACAGGCUGCUAAAGAAGCAGCUGAAGACUAGACAGCCACUGCACAGACCAGCUCUAUACAGCGAUUAAACUUCCACUCCACAGACUGGUGAACCCUAGGCCUGGGACUGGGGUGAUACUUGGGAAUCUGUUAGAGAACUUUUGUGUGGUUUCAAGCUCAUGGAUUCAAAAGAACAAUCUGGUAAAAAAAAUAAUAAUAAUAAUAAAAUGGAAAGAAAUAGAAAUCGGGGACCCUGGUUGCUGAUUCUGGAAUUAUUUCAUUCUAGCUGUGUGACCCUGGACAACUUAAUAAACCUCUCUGAGAAGGUGCAUAGAGAUUCUUCCCCGUGGUUAGACUGGAGGCUCCGGGAGGCCCGGGUCCUCAUAAUACCAUGACUCUCUUCCCAUCAGGGCUUUCUGUCUUAAUCACCAAAUAUGGGACACCCCCUUCCCAAAACGCAGUCUUGAGACUAGGGUUGAGGUAAGGAUGGAAUGGAGUACCCUGAUUUUUUGUUGCCAACUCCAACUUUGUUGCCAUGGCAGCAGGAUGUGGAGCAUCACUCCUGCAUGGGGAGGCUCCAUCUAUCUAGCUACAAAGCCUAGCUUCUAGCCUAGUAAGGAGCCCAGCCCAUGAGGCUCCCCAAUCUCUCCUCCCCUAGUAGUGCAGAGACACUACUAGUGCUUCUUGGCAUUUGGAAGGAUAAAGGAAGAUAAACUGACAGCUUGGUAUGCCCUGGGCCCGGAGAGCUUCUGGCUGAGAAAGAGAGAGACAAGUGGAGAUAUUCCUUGUGUGAAGUCAUCCUACCCUAAAGGUUGGAAAACUUGCUCUGCAGAGGGUCAGUCUGUAAAUAUAUUAGGUUUUCAAGCCAUUUCGUCUCUGUUGUGACUGCUCAACUCUGCCAUUGUAGGGUGAAAACAGCCAUAGACAAUACAUAAACAAAUAGAUGUAGUUGUGUGUCAAUAAAACUUUAUUUACAAAAACACUCAGUGGGCCAGAUUUGGAAUGCUGGCCAGAGUUUGCAGACCCCUGCUGUACCCCAUAGUGCAAGAGAAAGAGCCUGGGCUGGGGGCAGGGAACUAGGCUUAAGACCCAGAACCACCAAUGACUUGCUGUGUGAAUUUGGGUAAGUCAGUAUCUAUCUCUGAUCCUCAGUUUCACCAUCUAUCAAAUUGCUAUAACAGUAUCAGCCAGAUUUGCCAUGAGAAUAGGUCUAACAGGUCAGAGCAAAUCUCAAGUCUUUCCAUCACUUCAAGUAGAGCUAACUCCCCUCCCAAGGCCAUACCCUUGCCUGCUAAGGGUGGCAGCAGCCUGCUGGAAGGAAGAGGUGUUUCUCUCUAGAGUCAGAUCCUUAGUCUGGCUUUCCAACCUCCAUCCUCAAGUGACCCCAUUUCUGUAGCAAGCCAAGCACAGGAGGAAACGAGGAAUCCCUUCUUUUCCACCAUCCAGUCAUUUGGCAGGAGGCUACAGUUCACUUGAGAAAGUGAUGUGGCUGCAGUGGCUCGUGGCCAGGCUUUAGAGGAGGCUUUUGAGAAUCAAGAGUUAGGAAAGGUGAGAUUCAGUGCUCCCCAGAUCAUUUAUCUAUGUAUCAGGGAAGCUGGGGUGCAUGGCAAGAAGACACAGUCGCGAUCUGGUGGUGACUCACAGCACCAUCAAUUGCAUUAAUGGAUGUUUCUUGAGCCAUCUUGUCUGCCUGUCUGGUCUGACCACCACUGAGAUCUCGUGUCCUUUGGCAUCUUGUCAUAUGCUCUGAAGACCCAUAAAGUGAUUCUCUAUCCCCCCCACACACACUCUCUCUCCUUCUCUCUCUCUCUCCCCUCCUCCCUUUCCUCUCUCUUUCUCCUUCUUGUAUCAUAAACACAUUUAUCCAGGGCAGGACAGAAUACACUGCAACAGUCCUCUGUCAAGAAAGAUCCUUGCCCCAAAUAUCCAGAAAAGCAGCCCUAACCAGGAGUCUCCAUACUGUUCUAGAGAAGCAGACACCCCCCCCCCUUCCCAUCACUUUCCAUCUCCCUCUCAGGAGGCCAUCCUCCCCAAAAUCUCUGGAAAAGAUACACCUUCUCUUUGAGAGUGGGUAAGGGGUGAUGUCUCUCCAGGUCCCCAAUAAAGCUAUGCAAGACAGGAGCAAGGGAUCUCACGGCCUGUUCUUGCUAUAAAAAGACCUUUUUCAGAAAAAAAUAAUAAAGAAAGAAAUCAGCCAAUCCGUC
Molecule: long non-coding RNA, 5643 nt
Filed under: Lynx pardinus (Iberian lynx)
Lineage: Eukaryota; Metazoa; Chordata; Mammalia; Carnivora; Felidae
Source: RNAcentral